Molecule: ribosomal RNA, 876 nt
Filed under: Erythrobasidium hasegawianum
Lineage: Eukaryota; Fungi; Basidiomycota; Cystobasidiomycetes; Erythrobasidiales; Erythrobasidiaceae
Description: eukaryotic LSU rRNA
Rfam family: Eukaryotic large subunit ribosomal RNA (bases 282-876)
Source: RNAcentral
GAACGCACCUUGCACUCUUUGGUAUUCCGAAGAGUAUGUCUGUUUGAGUGUCAUGAAACUCUCAACCCCCUUGUUUUGUAAUGAAGCAGGCGUGGGCUUGGAUUAUGGCUGUCUGCUGGACUCUUUGAUUAGAGACCGGCUCGGCUGAAAUACACGAGUAACCCAGUUUGAAUAUUAACGGUUUGACUCGGCGUAAUAGCUUUAUUUCGCUGAGGACGUUUCAUAUCAAGAUAGUGGUGCUUCUAAUGCGUCGUAGCGUCAGCUGCACACCUUUAAGCUUUAGACCUCAAAUCAGUCAGGACUACCCGCUGAACUUAAGCAUAUCAAUAAGCGGAGGAAAAGAAACUAACAAGGAUUCCCCUAGUAACGGCGAGUGAAGUGGGAAAAGCUCAACUUUGAAAUCUGGCUGUUUUACAGUCCGAAUUGUAGUCUCGAGAAGUGUUUUCCGCGUUAAACCGUGUAUGAGUCUGUUGGAACACAGCGUCAUAGAGGGUGAGAACCCCGUUCAUGACACGGCUUUUAAUGCUUUGUGAUACAUUUUCGAUGAGUCGAGUUGUUUGGGAAUGCAGCUCAAAUUGGGUGGUAAAUUCCAUCUAAAGCUAAAUAUUGGCGAGAGACCGAUAGCAAACAAGUACCGUGAGGGAAAGAUGAAAAGCACUUUGGAAAGAGAGUUAAAAGUACGUGAAAUUGUCGAAAGGGAAACGCUUGAAGUCAGACGUGCACGGGAUUUAUUCCUAUUGCAGGCCAACAUCGGUUUUACGAGCCGGAUAAAGGUACAAGGAAGGUAGCAGUUUCGGCUGUGUUAUAGCCUCGUACUGAAUACGGAUUGUGAGACCGAGGGACGCAGCGCGCCGCAAGGCAAAGGGUCCGCCCUUC